Molecule: ribosomal RNA, 802 nt
Filed under: uncultured bacterium
Lineage: Bacteria
Description: bacterial SSU rRNA
Rfam family: Bacterial small subunit ribosomal RNA
Source: RNAcentral
GUUUGAUCCUGGCUCAGAUCGAACGCUUUCGGCAUGCCUAACACAUGCAAGUCGAACGGCAGCACGGUCUGGUUUACCAGAUGGGUGGCGAGUGGCGGACGGGUGAGUAAUGCGCAGGAAUAUGCCUUAAAGAGGGGGAUAACUUGGGGAAACUCAAGCUAAUACCGCAUAAUUUCUUAGGAAAAAAGCUGGGGACUUUCGAGCCUGGCGCUUUAAGAUUAGCCUGCGUCCGAUUAGCUAGUUGGUAGGGUAAAGGCCUACCAAGGCGACGAUCGGUAGCUGGUCUGAGAGGAUGACCAGCCACACUGGAACUGAGACACGGUCCAGACUCCUACGGGAGGCAGCAGUGGGGAAUAUUGGACAAUGGGGGGAACCCUGAUCCAGCAAUGCCGCGUGUGUGAAGAAGGCCUGAGGGUUGUAAAGCACUUUCAGUGGGGAGGAGGGUUAUUAGGUUAAGAGCUAGAUAGCUGGACGUUACCCACAGAAGAAGCACCGGCUAACUCCGUGCCAGCAGCCGCGGUAAUACGGAGGGUGCAAGCGUUAAUCGGAAUUAUUGGGCGUAAAGCGUGCGUAGGUGGUUAGAUAAGUUAUCUGUGAAAUCCCUGGGCUUAACCUGGGCAGGUCAGAUAAGACUGUUUGACUCGAGUAUGAGAGAGGGUAGUGGAAUUUCCGGUGUAGCGGUGAAAUGCGUAGAGAUCGGAAGGAACACCAGUGGCGAAGGCGGCUACCUGGCUUAAUACUGACACUGAGGCACGAAAGCGUGGGGAGCAAACAAGAUUAGAUACCCUGGUAGUCCACGCUG